UAUGUUGUCGUCAUACGUAAAGUCUUGCUUAAGAAUACUUUAGGCAUCUGGCUGUGGAAGGUAGAAUAGAAAUUAUAAUAAUAAAAUCCUAAUUUUAGUAGAUUAUUAACAAUGCUAAACAAGCUUUAAUCAAAUUCAAAUAUACCUCAAAGAAAUUUCAAAGAAACAAUAAGAAAUCUUAAAAAAAAUAUUAGAAUAAUUACAAAUAUAUCUCAAAUACAUCUCAAUUCAAUCUUAAUUUAAUCCUAGUUAAAAUCCUAUUGGACUUCAUUCAAAAUUUAGGCCAAAACUAACUAAAUUUCAAAUCCUAAUAAAUUCUAAUAAAAUCCUAAAUCCUAAAUCUAAUCUUAAACAAAUCCUAAACCAAACUCCAAUUAAAUCCUAAACCAAAUCUUAUUCAAACCUUAAACCCUAAAUCAAAACCUAAACCUAAACCAAAUCCCAACCAAAACCUAAAUCCUAAAUCUUAAAUCAAAUCCUAAACUAAUCCUAAAUCAAAUCCUAACCAAACCCUAAACCAAAUCCUAAAUUCUAAAUCAAAUCCUAACCAACUCAAAUCCUAAAUCAAAUCCUAAACCUAAACCAGAUCCUACUCAAACUCUAAACUCUAACCCAAUCCCAACCAAAUCCUAAACCAAAUCCUAAAUCCUAAAUUAAACUCUAAAUAAACCCUAAACCAAAUCCUAACCAAAUCCUAAAUCAAACCUUAAAUCCUAAAUCAAACCCUAAAUCUUAAAUCAAAUCCUAAAUCCUAAAUCAAAUCCUAACCAAAUUCUAAACUUAAUCCUAAACCCUAAAUCAAACCCUAAUCAAAGCGUAACCCUAAAUCAAAUCCUAAUCAAAUCCUAAACCAAAUCUUAAACUCUAAAUCAAAUCCUAAAUAUUAAAUCAAAUCCUAAAUUCUAAAUCAAAUCCUAAUCAAAUCCUAAACUUAACCCUAAAUCCUAAAUCAAACCCUAAUCAAAUUCUAAACCAAAUCCU
This 981-nucleotide long non-coding RNA is filed under the name Physcomitrium patens. RNAcentral describes it as "long non-coding RNA (PPAT_LNC013709)". The record is from RNAcentral. Lineage: Eukaryota; Viridiplantae; Streptophyta; Bryopsida; Funariales; Funariaceae.